AAACAAAACUAAAAAUUCUGAUCUUCAAACACUGCAGCCCAGUCCCAAACAGUAGCACACCGUUGGAAGGCGAGAUUGUGAACACUCUAGACCUAGAAUGCUUCUGUCAUGGCAGAGGGGUCUCCAUGGCAACACACUCCACCGUGGCAGUGGACCAUGACUGUGGAACAUACUAUAGAAAACCAGAAUAAACGCUGUUACAGAAAAUAUUGCAGAAUGGAUGCGAUGCCUGCAAAGGUAUUUCUGAAAGUCUGGACAUUUAUUGAUUUGCCUGCCUGAAUGUUUGCACAACUGGUACAUUCUUGGUGUCCAGAGGCCAGAAAAUGGUAUUGGAACUGGAGUUGUAAGCAAUUGUGAGCUGCUAUGAGGAUGCUGGGCAUCAAACCAAGAUCCUGUGGAGGAAGAGCUAGAAUCACAGUUUAGGGGAAGCAUCAGAGAAACCAGGAUUGUCAAUCAUGGAUCUCUUAAAUGGAAGGAAAUGAAUGCUGCCUGAUCACCUGGAAUGCCAGCAAUCGUGGUCAAACAAUCUCAUGGUCUUUUGCUAUUCAUUGGGAGCCAGCCUUCACUUGAAUCUGUGCCCCCCCAAUAUAAGCCCCCUCCCACUGCCCAAUAUCCUGAGCACUGCUGAAGUCCUAAAACUGAGUUUUGUUUCUUAAUGAACAAAACACAUUCCUAUGAGAAAGGCCCCAUUUGCUCUGCUUCCUCUACCAAUAGAAUCUGUCUUUAUGCCUAUCACUGAUGCUACUUCUAGGCCCUAGCCCUGAGAUCUUUGUUUAUCAGAAAUAAAACACAUUUUAAUUGUAAA
Molecule: long non-coding RNA, 805 nt
Organism: Mastomys coucha (southern multimammate mouse)
Lineage: Eukaryota; Metazoa; Chordata; Mammalia; Rodentia; Muridae
Exons: 4
Source: RefSeq, a predicted model, not a curated record